This 72-nucleotide transfer RNA is filed under the name Shigella boydii ATCC 9905. RNAcentral describes it as "tRNA-Val". It matches the Rfam family "tRNA". From Rfam's summary of the family: Transfer RNA (tRNA) molecules are approximately 80 nucleotides in length. Their secondary structure includes four short double-helical elements and three loops (D, anti-codon, and T loops). Further hydrogen bonds mediate the characteristic L-shaped molecular structure. tRNAs have two regions of fundamental functional importance: the anti-codon, which is responsible for specific mRNA codon recognition, and the 3' end, to which the tRNAs corresponding amino acid is attached (by aminoacyl-tRNA synthetases). tRNAs cope with the degeneracy of the genetic code in two manners: having more than one tRNA (with a specific anti-codon) for a particular amino acid; and 'wobble' base-pairing, i.e. permitting non-standard base-pairing at the 3rd anti-codon position. Lineage: Bacteria; Pseudomonadati; Pseudomonadota; Gammaproteobacteria; Enterobacterales; Enterobacteriaceae. The record is from RNAcentral.
GGGUGAUAGCUCAGCUGGGAGAGCACCUCCCUUACAAGGAGGGGGUCGGCGGUUCGAUCCCGUCAUCACCCA